Molecule: long non-coding RNA, 3650 nt
Filed under: Sus scrofa (pig)
Lineage: Eukaryota; Metazoa; Chordata; Mammalia; Artiodactyla; Suidae
Description: lncRNA (ENSSSCG00050038544.1)
Source: RNAcentral
UGUGGAUGAGCUAAGUGAAGAGCCGCCUUCACUGUUAGUAGAAUUUUACAAAGAAAUGUUUCUGGUUGGAAGAAUGUGCCAAGGCCGCAUGAGUCCUGGAGGGUUGUUGGCACUCUCAGGGACUUGAAAUAAGAGGGAAAAAAACAACCCCACAGAACUACAAAAAAAGAGAAAAGACAAAGAGGACUGUUGUAAAAAUAAGAAGCUUUGAAGAAUCUGAAGCAGAUGUUAUGCUGGGAGCUAGUAUGUACUAUAGUACCACCUGUGCCCACUUAAUUCCGUCCAAAAUCAUUUCCUCCACAGUUACCAUGAAGAAAGACAGAGAUUUGAGGAUUUAAGAAUAUUUGGUGGGGCGUAAGGGAGGAAAAACGUGAGAGCAAUGCCUCUGGCUCAGAAGUGGGGUUCACUGUUAGAGAGGAAUAAUGGUUCACACCCAAUGGGCACUCCUGGAUCUGGAAUGAGGCAUUUUCUCUGCCCACAGCUUGACUGGUUGGCUGGACCACAAUGCACAGCUAUUCCACACAUCACACACCCGUAUAUCUGUAUAUAUACAUAUAUGUUAUAUAUAUGUAUGUAAACAUUUACAUAUAGAUGCAUACGCUUUGGUUAAGGAUAUGGUGUAGAAGCAAAAUUUGUGUAUGAAAAUAGUCAAGGACCAUUCUUUUAUUCCUCCAACAACUUGUUUUGCUGCCUUUAUUUCAUAGUAGUUCAAUGAUUCUGAGUUCAUCUCAGGUGACAUUGCUUUAACCCUUUCCUUACAGUGCCUUGUUCAUUUUCUGGCACAGUUCUUACUUGAUUCCUCCUGAUGAAGAAAGCUGCCAGGUUUUUUUUUUUUUGCUGUUGUUUUUAAUGGCUGCACCCAUGGCAUAUGGAAGUUCCCUGGCCAGGGAGUAAAUCCGACUUGCACUUGUGACCUAUGCCAAAGUUGCUGCAAUGCAGGAUCAUUUAACCCAUUGUGCUGGGCCAGGGAAUCAAAUCCACAUCUCCAUAGCAACCUGAGCCACUGAGGUUGGAUUCUUAACCCAUGGCAUCACAGUGGGGACUCCCAGAAAGUUACCAGUUUUUCUGUCUUUUUUUUGUGUGUGUAUGCUUUUUUAGGGCCACACCCACGGCAUAUGGAAGUUCCCAGGCUAGGGGGCUAAUCAGAGCUACAGCCGUCGGCCUACACUACAGCCACAGCAAUGCAGGAUCCGAGACAUGCGCUGCGUCUGUGAACUACACCACAGCUGGUGGCAAUGCCAGAUCCUUAACCUACUGAGUGAGACCAGGGAUCGAACCUGCAACCUCAUGAUUCCUAGUCAGAUCGUUUCCACUGCGCCACUACGGGAACUCCAGAAAGACACCAGUUUUAACUAGUUGGUUCUGAGUAUUAAAAGUAUUCUAUUGCUGAACCCAUAUAGACAUAGUGAAUUAUCUGAUAAGUAGUUUGAACUUUCUCUUCAAACACAAAUUGCCUGGAAAAGGAUUCAUUCCUCAGAACAUGCCAUCAUUUUUCUUCUAGAAAAGUUACUAGUUCCCAUUAAUGGGUGUAAAUCAUAAAAUCUAACUUCACCGGAAGAGAGACCAUUUUGGAGUUGACGUGGGUGACCCAGUAUUUUACCACACUGUGACAGUGGGAUCUUUCUGGAAAUUGAAUAGGAAAUAUCAGCUGACAGAAAACACAUCCUAUCUGAAAGCUCAGAUAAGAGUAAGUGGUGUCCCAGAUCUAUGAUUUGCUAGCUUCUUUGAUUGUUCUCUUGGCUUGGCAUAAUUCUUCUCUCUUUGCAGAAGAGGGCACAUUUUUCACAUUUUCUCAGUCAAUGUUUUCCCUUCUGACCCGUAGAGAGAAACUCGAGAUCAUUGGUUGCAUUUUCUACUUGAUUCUCCACAUUUAUGAUUUCCAUAGAGGGAAGACAAACACUUCAAAUGAAGACUGCAAGAUGAACUUUUGGAUAUGAAGCACAGAUUUCUUAGUUCAUUCAUUUAUUCAUCUUCUUAUUCAUUCAAUAAAUUUAUGCAAGGUGCUGUGCUACAAACGGGAGGUAAAAGGAAAAAAUAGACACAUUUCCUCUCUCCCAAAGAUUACAUUCUAGUAAGAGACGAUAACCGGGGAUAGGGUUCCUAUUGCGAUCAUAACAAAUUACCACACAUUUAAUGGCUUAAAACUGUGCGAGUUUAUUACCCUAACAAUCCUGUAGGGCAUAAAUCUGACAUGGGUGUCAUGGGGUUAAAGGUUUCUUUCUGGAGGCUCUAGGAGAAAAUUUAUUUCCUUACCUUUUCCAACGUCUACAGGCCACCUUUAUUUCUUGAAUUAUGGCCCCCUUCCUCUGUCAUCAAAGCCAGCAAUGUCAGAGCAAGCCCUUCCCAUGUCAAAUUCCUUUGACCCUUCUUUUGUCAUCACAACUCUCCUUGAGCACAGCUGGUAAGGGUCCUUUGCUUUUAAGAAUCCAUGCGAUUAGACUGAAGCUACCAAGAUAAUUUCCCCAACUCAAGGUGCAGUAAUCACCUCUGCAAAGUUCCUUUUUGUCGUGUAAGGUAAUUUAUUCAUAGGUCCUGAGGAUUAGAGCAUAGGGAUUUGGUGGGCCAUUAUUCUGCCAAUGAAUAAAAAUAAAAUAGUUACAUAUUGUGGUGAGUGUUGAAAAACAAAACAGAACAGAGAGAAUGAUAUGAGAAAGAAUAAGAGCAAGGCGCCCACUUUUGUGUGGUUAGGAGAGGCAAAUCUGAGAAGGUGAUAUGUAAGCUGAGUACUGAGGGGUAAGAAGGAACCUCCUCUCUUUCAAUCAACGGAGCUUGACUUGGUGUGAGCCCCUUACAGAUACUCCCCUGGCCCACACCAGCUUGUAGCUGAUUAGCCCAGGGAUGGGCAACUGACUUAGCCUGGGUCCACUGAGCCCUUCUCUGGGAUUUUUAAGUUUGCUUUCUGGACAAAGUGUUUCAUUCCUGUCUGUGGUGAAGCUUGGAAAUAUGAAACUCUAGAGUGGUGUCACCAAUGUUUCUUGCCUUCUAGAGGACAUUGAUAUAAAAAAGGAAAGCUGACACGUAGAGUCAAACAGAGACAAAAGACAGUGAAAUCUUUUGCUCAAAGUAAAACUACCAAUUGUAUUAUUUAGGUUCUUUUGUUUUUAAGUGUAAGAAACUGAAAAAAACCUAAAGAUCUUAAGCAAAAAAAGGUGAAAUAGAACUCUUUGGUUCUGUGGUAAAAAGCCUGAUCUCUGAGAUUGGCUAUACCUAGGGGUACAAUAACCGGGUCUUAGAAAAAGAGCAUUGUCAGCUUUAGAGGUAAUCCCAAACAGAUUUCCAUAGGGCUACACCAUUUUGUAAUUCACCUGGCAGUGCAUGAGAUACAGCAUUGCUUAGGUUCCAACUAAAAUUUGGUACAGUGAGGCGUAAUUAUCAUCAUCACUAUUACUAAUCUGGUGAGUGCAAAAUGGUAUCUCACUGAGAUUUUAAAUUGGAUUUUCCUGACCAAUAUUAAGGACGUUGAUCACUUUUUGUAUGUUUAUGGGAAAGGCAUGAUUUUUUUUUCUUUUGUAAAAGCACAUCCCUAUGACAAUAUUGUAUAUUUUGGAAUUGAAUUCUUUAACAGUUUAUUUGUGCUGCUAUAUUGCACUGAGUGUGUGAGUUGCCUUUAAACAUUCUAUUUUAAUUUUUCUUAAAUUUUUGAAUAAGAA